GAUGAACGCUGGCGGCGUGCCUAAUACAUGCAAGUCGAGCGAACAGACGAGGAGCUUGCUCCUCUGACGUUAGCGGCGGACGGGUGAGUAACACGUGGAUAACCUACCUAUAAGACUGGGAUAACUUCGGGAAACCGGAGCUAAUACCGGAUAAUAUAUUGAACCGCAUGGUUCAAUAGUGAAAGACGGUUUUGCUGUCACUUAUAGAUGGAUCCGCGCCGCAUUAGCUAGUCGGUAAGGUAACGGCUUACCAAGGCAACGAUGCGUAGCCGACCUGAGAGGGUGAUCGGCCACACUGGAACUGGGACACGGUCCAGACUCCUACGGGAGGCAGCAGUAGGGAAUCUUCCGCAAUGGGCGAAAGCUUGACGGAGCAACGCCGCGUGAGUGAUGAAGGUCUUCGGAUCGUAAAACUCUGUUAUUAGGGAAGAACAAAUGUGUAAGUAACUAUGCACGUCUUGACGGUACCUAAUCAGAAAGCCACGGCUAACUACGUG
Molecule: ribosomal RNA, 497 nt
Filed under: uncultured bacterium
Lineage: Bacteria
Description: partial 16S ribosomal RNA
Rfam family: Bacterial small subunit ribosomal RNA
Source: RNAcentral